Molecule: ribosomal RNA, 468 nt
Filed under: uncultured bacterium
Lineage: Bacteria
Description: partial 16S ribosomal RNA
Rfam family: Bacterial small subunit ribosomal RNA
Source: RNAcentral
GACGAACGCUGGCGGCGUGCUUAACACAUGCAGGUCGAACGGAAAGGCCCUGCUUUUGUGGGGUGCUCGAGUGGCGAACGGGUGAGUAACACGUGAGUAACCUGCCCUUGACUUUGGGAUAACUUCAGGAAACUGGGGCUAAUACCGGAUAGGAGCUCCUGCUGCAUGGUGGGGGUUGGAAAGUUUCGGCGGUUGGGGAUGGACUCGCGGCUUAUCAGCUUGUUGGUGGGGUAGUGGCUUACCAAGGCUUUGACGGGUAGCCGGCCUGAGAGGGUGACCGGCCACAUUGGGACUGAGAUACGGCCCAGACUCCUACGGGAGGCAGCAGUGGGGAAUAUUGCACAAUGGGCGCAAGCCUGAUGCAGCAACGCCGCGUGCGGGAUGACGGCCUUCGGGUUGUAAACCGCUUUCGCCUGUGACGAAGCGUGAGUGACGGUAAUGGGUAAAGAAGCACCGGCUAACUACGUG